AUUGAACGCUGGCGGCAGGCCUAACACAUGCAAGUCGAACGGUAACAGGAAGCAGCUUGCUGCUUCGCUGACGAGUGGCGGACGGGUGAGUAAUGUCUGGGAAACUGCCUGAUGGAGGGGGAUAACUACUGGAAACGGUAGCUAAUACCGCAUAACGUCGCAAGACCAAAGAGGGGGACCUUAGGGCCUCUUGCCAUCGGAUGUGCCCAGAUGGGAUUAGCUAGUAGGUGGGGUAACGGCUCACCUAGGCGACGAUCCCUAGCUGGUCUGAGAGGAUGACCAGCCACACUGGAACUGAGACACGGUCCAGACUCCUACGGGAGGCAGCAGUGGGGAAUAUUGCACAAUGGGCGCAAGCCUGAUGCAGCCAUGCCGCGUGUAUGAAGAAGGCCUUCGGGUUGUAAAGUACUUUCAGCGGGGAGGAAGGGAGUAAAGUUAAUACCUUUGCUCAUUGACGCUACCCGCAGAAGAAGCACCGGCUAACUCCGUG
This 490-nucleotide ribosomal RNA is filed under the name uncultured bacterium. Its description in RNAcentral is "partial 16S ribosomal RNA". It matches the Rfam family "Bacterial small subunit ribosomal RNA", at positions 30 to 507 of the family's 1533-position model. The record is from RNAcentral.